RNAcentral lists this ribosomal RNA (1126 nucleotides) under Klebsiella pneumoniae. RNAcentral describes it as "bacterial SSU rRNA". It matches the Rfam family "Bacterial small subunit ribosomal RNA", at positions 8 to 1125 of the family's 1533-position model. The record is from RNAcentral. Lineage: Bacteria; Pseudomonadati; Pseudomonadota; Gammaproteobacteria; Enterobacterales; Enterobacteriaceae.
AGAGUUUGAUCAUGGCUCAGAUUGAACGCUGGCGGCAGGCCUAACACAUGCAAGUCGAGCGGUAGCACAGAGAGCUUGCUCUCGGGUGACGAGCGGCGGACGGGUGAGUAAUGUCUGGGAAACUGCCUGAUGGAGGGGGAUAACUACUGGAAACGGUAGCUAAUACCGCAUAAUGUCGCAAGACCAAAGUGGGGGACCUUCGGGCCUCAUGCCAUCAGAUGUGCCCAGAUGGGAUUAGCUUGUAGGUGGGGUAACGGCUCACCUAGGCGACGAUCCCUAGCUGGUCUGAGAGGAUGACCAGCCACACUGGAACUGAGACACGGUCCAGACUCCUACGGGAGGCAGCAGUGGGGAAUAUUGCACAAUGGGCGCAAGCCUGAUGCAGCCAUGCCGCGUGUGUGAAGAAGGCCUUCGGGUUGUAAAGCACUUUCAGCGGGGAGGAAGGCGGUGAGGUUAAUAACCUCAUCGAUUGACGUUACCCGCAGAAGAAGCACCGGCUAACUCCGUGCCAGCAGCCGCGGUAAUACGGAGGGUGCAAGCGUUAAUCGGAAUUACUGGGCGUAAAGCGCACGCAGGCGGUCUGUCAAGUCGGAUGUGAAAUCCCCGGGCUCAACCUGGGAACUGCAUUCGAAACUGGCAGGCUAGAGUCUUGUAGAGGGGGGUAGAAUUCCAGGUGUAGCGGUGAAAUGCGUAGAGAUCUGGAGGAAUACCGGUGGCGAAGGCGGCCCCCUGGACAAAGACUGACGCUCAGGUGCGAAAGCGUGGGGAGCAAACAGGAUUAGAUACCCUGGUAGUCCACGCCGUAAACGAUGUCGAUUUGGAGGUUGUGCCCUUGAGGCGUGGCUUCCGGAGCUAACGCGUUAAAUCGACCGCCUGGGGAGUACGGCCGCAAGGUUAAAACUCAAAUGAAUUGACGGGGGCCCGCACAAGCGGUGGAGCAUGUGGUUUAAUUCGAUGCAACGCGAAGAACCUUACCUGGUCUUGACAUCCACAGAACUUUCCAGAGAUGGAUUGGUGCCUUCGGGAACUGUGAGACAGGUGCUGCAUGGCUGUCGUCAGCUCGUGUUGUGAAAUGUUGGGUUAAGUCCCGCAACGAGCGCAACCCUUAUCCUUUGUUGCCAGCGGU